Molecule: ribosomal RNA, 487 nt
Filed under: uncultured bacterium
Lineage: Bacteria
Description: bacterial SSU rRNA
Rfam family: Bacterial small subunit ribosomal RNA
Source: RNAcentral
AAUGAACGUUGGCGGCGUGGAUUAGGCAUGCAAGUCGAGCGCUCAUAGCAAUAUGGGAGCGGCGAACGGCGUAGUAAUAUGUAGGAACGUACCCUCGGGUCGGGGAUAGCCAUGGGAAACUGUGGGUAAUACCCGAUAAUCUCUGCGGAGCAAAGGUGUGAUUCCGCCUGAGGAGCGGCCUACACGAUAUUAGCUAGUUGGUAGGGUAAUGGCCUACCAAGGCUACGAUGUCUAGGGGGUGUGAGAGCAUGGCCCCCCACGACCGGAACUGAGAUACUGUCCGGACACCUACGGGUGGCUGCAGUCGAGAAUCUUCCGCAAUGGACGAAAGUCUGACGGAGCGACGCCGCGUGCGGGAUGAAGGCCCUUGGGUUGUAAACCGCUGUCAGAGGGGAUGAAAUCUUCGGAGGUGCUCCUCCAAAGUUGACAGAGCCUCAAAGGAAGCACGGGCUAAGUACGUGCCAGCAGCCGCGGUAAUGUCUGUACU